Harpia harpyja (harpy eagle) is the source of this 3236-nucleotide long non-coding RNA. RefSeq lists it as uncharacterized. The transcript has 4 exons. NCBI's taxonomy places the organism in Eukaryota, Metazoa, Chordata, Aves, Accipitriformes, Accipitridae. The record is from RefSeq and is a predicted model, not a curated record.
GCGGCCACCCCACAGUGCCGCGGCGGCGACCAAGGGUCACCCCGGGCCGGCGGCCCGGGCGCUGCCGGAGCCGGGGCAGCGGCAGAGGGCCGCCCCGCCGCUGCCGCCUUCCGCUCGUUACCUUUGUGCUCGUCAUCCAGAGAACUACACUUUGUUGGUGACAUCACUAGAAUACCAAGGAUGUGCCUUUUCCUAAUUUUUCACCUUUCUGUCAGAAGUCAUGCAAACUGACUAAGUUGCAGUAUUUCCAUCUUGGAGGGCCUACAGUUUAGAAAUGAACUCUAUGAAAAGACAGGAAAACCACCAUUUGCCAUAUGCAGGCAACUGCCCUGUGGAUAUUUUAGGACUGUAGCUUCAGCUGAAUCAGAGAUACUUGGAAAAAGAGAGAUAGCUUCAGCAACUUGUGGAAAAUUUGAGCAUCUGGAAUCUGAACUAACUGCAAUGGAUGGGAAAAUGAAACAGCUUCAACUAGAUCACUACUGAUACUGAGGGAAGCUUUCUGAGAUCUGCCCAUGAGAAUCGACAGGAAGGAAAAAACAUCUUAGUCAACGAUUGGAGGACAUGCAGUAAUCACUCUUCAGCAGCAGUGUAUUUUAGGCCAUUGUUACCCUGGUUCACUACAAUGCUCUUUUAGGGAAAAAGUCUGCUUCCAGCCACAUUAUAAAGACAUGGUGUAGAGAGAGGAGAGUCUGGCACAGAGUCUAUGGAGACUCUCUGUAAUCUCUUGAGGCCACACAUGAACAAAAAGAGAGUAUCUUCCUUAAGGAACAUUAUCGCAUGAAUUUUAUGUAAGCAGAAUUAUCAGAAGAAAAAUAAACAAUGAAAGCUUGCAUGAAAGCAAGCUAGUGAGUGAAAGCAUCAGAUUAGCAAGUGUCACAUAGACAGAUUGUAACAGAUAGUGAUAAAAUGGCUCCAGGAGGAGGCUUUUCUUACUACUCAAAUCCAUUAUAUCACAUCCUACUUAUAAAGUAAUCUUCUGAGACCCAGCUGACUUUUUGUACAAUCUGACAUGUUACUUAACUGUUUAUCACAUCAAGAAUGAUCAUAAUACGUAAAAGUGAGGACUGUGUAGCAUUUUUUUUGAGGUAAGGAAGUCAGUUUCCUUCUCAACCGUAAUCCUGCACUUGUUAAGAAGAUGAGAGACUUCUGACAAAACAGAGUGGUUUAUAAAGAACUCGGACUGCAGAUGAGUUCUUGUUCCCUUUGCAUGUCAUCUACAGGCCACACUUUCAUUUUUUCCAUACCUGAAGAGACUAGUGCAUAGAUACUACAUAAACUACGUACCAGGAACCCAGUAUAGACAUAGAAAGUUCUGUAGUGGACUCUCAAAUACAAGGCAUUCUUUCUAAUUUACCUAUAUCUCUCACUGUGUUGCUAGGAUUUACAGUGAAAUUUAUUGUUGAUCUAGAAACUGAUGUAGAUUAAUGCAUAAACCUGAAGACUGUACCUCCCUUCCAUACCAACACUAGUACUGCUGAAUUAUUCUAUAGGCAAUUAAGAGAAAUCUCUGGAUUGGUAGUCCUUGUCCUUAUGGGAGAUUUCAACUUCCCAGACAUCAGCUGGGAGUAACGUACUGCUGUGGCAAGCAAGCCUGGGAAAUUUCUGGAGUUGGCUGAACAUAAUUUCUUGUCAUAAGUACUCAGUAAGCCAACUAGGAAAGGUGCCGUCCUCAACUUGUCAUUUCUGAAUAGAGAAGGACUCACGGGAUAUGUGAUGGUAGGUGGCUAUCUUGGCCACCGUGAUCCCAAAAUGGUUGAGUUUAAAAUUUUUAGUGUAAUGAGAAAAAAGUUCACCAGCAUUGCUACCCCAUAUUUCAAGAGACCAAAAUUUAAGCUGCUCAGGGACCUACUUCGCGUGUCCCCUGGGAAUCUGCUUUUGAGGGCUUUGGGGUCCAUGAGUGCUAGUCAGUUUAAGCACAGGAGCAGGCCAUCCUGUUGUGUUGCAAGGCAAGCAAUCGGGGCAGAAGACCAGCUUGGCUCAACAGGGAACUCCUCUUGGAACUCAGGAGGAAAAAGAGAUUGGAUGAUCUCUAGAAGCGAGGUCAGGCUUCACGGGAAGAUUAUAGAGCCGUCGUUUGCAUAUGUAGGGAUACAACAUGAAAGGCCAAAGCUCAGCUGGAGUUGAAACUGGCUAUUGUUGUACUAGAAAACAAGAUAGGAUGUCCAAGGAAAAUAUAGCACCCAUACUUGUUGAAGAUGGUCCCCUGGCAAAUAGGGGUGCAGAAGAAGUGGAGGCAUUCAGUGCUUUUUUUGCCUCAGUCUUUAAUACUAAUGAUAGGCCUUGGGCUGUCCGGUCCUCUGAGUUGGAGGACCAUGACUGCAGGAACAGUGACUUUGCAUGUGGGGACAUGGAAAUUGUAAGGGGCUAGCUGUAUCAGCUGAAUGUUCAUACAUCUAUGGGACCUGGUGGGAUUCAUUCCUGUGUACUGAAUGAGCUAGGGGAUGUGAUGGCAGCACCCCUCUCCAUCAUGUACCAGAAGUCUUGGGAGCCUAGGUAGGCCCCCGCUGACUGGGAGCUGUCCAACAGUGUUCCAAUUUAAAAGAAAGGCAUGAAGGAAGACUCAGAAAACUGCAGACCUGUUACUGUAACCUCAGCACCUGGAAAAAUGAAGCAGAAGAUCCUACUGGGUGCUGCUGAAAGGCAUUUCAAGGACAAUGCAGUCAUCAGGCACAGUCAACAUGGGUUCACAAAGGGAAAGCCCUGUCUAUCCUUCUAUGAUAAGGUCGGCCUCCUAGUGAGUGAAGAGAAGGCAGAUGUGGCUUUUCUGGAUUUUAGGAAGGCUUUUGAUACAGAACCUUACAGCAUCCUUCUGGACAAGUUGUCCAACUGUGAGAUGAUGUUGUGGUUUAACCCUGGCCAGCAAUUAAGCACCACGAAGCUGCUCACUCACUUCCCCCCCACCACACAGUGAUGGACUGUGAUGUCACCCAGCAGUGGACACCUGUGCUGGGGCCGCAGCACUGCUAGGGCGAGCGCUGUGGGCAAGGAUAGCCUGUUGUGAUGUCACUGAGGGAUGGAGUACAACAUCCCUGAGUGAUGGAUUGUGACCAGGCGACCCUCACUGCUUAUAUUUGGGUGCCAAGUCUCAGCCAGCCAGCUCAUGGCCGCACUCCAGCUGAGCAGAUCGCGAGGUCUGGAGCACUGAGCGAGGCCUUGGCGCUGGUGUCGUGCUCAGGGAGUUGCUCCUUGCAGCUCUCAGUGCCCAACCCCAGAGCCGUCGAAGGAUUUUCCCCGGC